Molecule: long non-coding RNA, 790 nt
Filed under: Homo sapiens (human)
Lineage: Eukaryota; Metazoa; Chordata; Mammalia; Primates; Hominidae
Description: non-protein coding HDAC2-AS2:104
Source: RNAcentral
ACGGGAUGGCAAAGUCCACAUAGUGCAGAGGAGAAUUGUUACAGAGCAAUGCUAGAUGAAGGAGCUGAGGCUGGAGAAGUUAAGAGACCCCUGCUAGAUAGGAAGGCACGUGAGAAGUAUACUGCUCUGUCUCCUGUGGAGUAAAAAGACUUUGGCGUUCUCAGAAGAAAACCAAAUGAGAUCACACGAAUGAGACUGCUGGAGCAAUCUAAUGCAAAUAUCUACUACAGAUUAUCAAAAGGAAAAAAAAAGGAGGGGAUAGGGAAGCUUAAGGGAGGAGUGCUGUGAAGAAUGUUGUCAUUUCUUCUGGACUGCUACUAAGUAAAAGUUAUCUUCUCACCUCACUCACCAAUUCCUGCCUUAGUACCACAGCAAUUAUCUUUGCCUAAACACAUUAACGGGGAAAAAUGUUCAGGCUUUUGGAGAAGAGCUACAAGUGGUGGACGGUGGCCACAGUGAAGAGUGGGGUAACUUAGACUAAACACUAUAGGAGCCAUCAGAAGAAAUUUUUCCAAACUGCAGCUUAUUACAUGGGUCACACAAGGACAGUUUGCAGCAUAAGGACAGCUAGCUGCUUAUACAAGAACAUGUGCCUGACACAGUCUCACAAGCCCAGUCCAAAACUACAAGGGCCUAACUGUAACUCCAGGAUUACAAGUCCUACCUAAUAACUAUUGACACUCGCCAGUCAGAACUCACCAGCUCUUUUGUUGCUGCCAGCACCAAUAAGCUUUCUUCCAAAACCAACGCAUAGCCUCCGCCUUUCCCAAUAAACUCUAACCUUUUCCUU